RNAcentral lists this ribosomal RNA (397 nucleotides) under uncultured bacterium. RNAcentral's name for it is "partial 16S ribosomal RNA". It matches the Rfam family "Bacterial small subunit ribosomal RNA", at positions 523 to 918 of the family's 1533-position model. The record is from RNAcentral.
AUACGUAGGUGGCAAGCGUUGUCCGGAAUUAUUGGGCGUAAAGCGCGCGCAGGCGGUCCUUUAAGUCUGAUGUGAAAGCCCACGGCUCAACCGUGGAGGGUCAUUGGAAACUGGGGGACUUGAGUGCAGAAGAGGAAAGUGGAAUUCCAAGGGUAGCGGUGAAAUGCGUAGAGAUUUGGAGGAACACCAGUGGCGAAGGCGACUUUCUGGUCUGUAACUGACGCUGAGGCGCGAAAGCGUGGGGAGCAAACAGGAUUAGAUACCCUGGUAGUCCACGCCGUAAACGAUGAGUGCUAAGUGUUAGGGGGUUUCCGCCCCUUAGUGCUGCAGCUAACGCAUUAAGCACUCCGCCUGGGGAGUACGGUCGCAAGACUGAAACUCAAAGGAAUUGACGGGG